ACAACUUUUAACAACGGAUCUCUUGGCUCUCGCAUCGAUGAAGAACGCAGCGAAAUGCGAUAAGUAAUGUGAAUUGCAGAAUUCAGUGAAUCAUCGAAUCUUUGAACGCACCUUGCGCUCUCUGGUAUUCCGGGGAGCACACCUGUUCGAGUGU
This 154-nucleotide ribosomal RNA is filed under the name Hydnum umbilicatum. Its description in RNAcentral is "5.8S ribosomal RNA". It matches the Rfam family "5.8S ribosomal RNA". From Rfam's summary of the family: 5.8S ribosomal RNA (5.8S rRNA) is a component of the large subunit of the eukaryotic ribosome. It is transcribed by RNA polymerase I as part of the 45S precursor that also contains 18S and 28S rRNA. Lineage: Eukaryota; Fungi; Basidiomycota; Agaricomycetes; Cantharellales; Hydnaceae. RNAcentral also lists the same sequence under 12 other names. The record is from RNAcentral.